AUGGCUCAGAUGAACGCUGGCGGCAUGCCUACACAUGCAAGUCGAACGGUAACAGGUCUCGGAUGCUGACGAGUGGCGAACGGGUGAGUAAUACAUCGGAACGUGCCCGAUCGUGGGGGAUAACGAGGCGAAAGCCUUGCUAAUACCGCAUACGAUCUACGGAUGAAAGCGGGGGAUCUCGGACCUCGCGCGGACGGAGCGGCCGAUGGCAGAUUAGGUAGUUGGUGGGAUAAAGCUUACCAAGCCGACGAUCUGUAGCUGGUCUGAGAGGAUGAUCAGCCACACUGGGACUGAGACACGGCCCAGACUCCUACGGGAGGCAGCAGUGGGGAAUUUUGGACAAUGGGCGAAAGCCUGAUCCAGCCAUGCCGCGUGCAGGAUGAAGGCCUUCGGGUUGUAAACUGCUUUUGUACGGAACGAAAAGCCUCUUUCUAAUAAAGAGGGGUCAUGACGGUACCGUAAGAAUAAGCACCGGCUAACUACGUGCCAGCCGCAGC
Molecule: ribosomal RNA, 497 nt
Filed under: uncultured bacterium
Lineage: Bacteria
Description: bacterial SSU rRNA
Rfam family: Bacterial small subunit ribosomal RNA
Source: RNAcentral